GGGCCAUAGCUCCAUGGCUGAGCAUCUGCUCUGCAUGCAGAAGGUCCCAAAUUCAACCCCUGGCAUCUCCA
Molecule: non-coding RNA, 71 nt
Organism: Podarcis lilfordi (Lilford's wall lizard)
Lineage: Eukaryota; Metazoa; Chordata; Lepidosauria; Squamata; Lacertidae
Source: the annotation of a GenBank genome assembly